GUUUUUCAAAACAUGUCUUUUUGAUUUUAAUUUAAAGUCGUCUCUGCCCAAUGAUUUAAUUUAAAUGGCUGCAGUAUUUUGACUGUACAAAGGUAGCAUAAUCAAUAGUUUUUUAAUUGGAAACUGGAAUGAAAGAGUUAAUAAAAUAUAAUCUUUAUUUAAUUAAAGAGUUGAAUUUAAAAUUUAAGUUAAAAUUCUUAAAUUAAUUUAUGGGACGAGAAGACCCUAUAGAAUUUUAUAUUUAAAUUUAUAAAAUAUUUAGUUUUAAAUUUUUUAUUAAUUUAAAUAUUUUAUUGGGAGGAUAAUUAAAUUUAUUUAACUUUAAUAUUUUUUAUUACAAUAAUUUUUGUAUUUAUGAUUUUAUUAUUAUAAUUAUUAGAUUAAAUUACCUUAGGGAUAACAGCGUUAUAUUUUUGGAGAGUUCUUAUUGAUAAAAAUGUUUGCGACCUCUGGGGG
This 456-nucleotide ribosomal RNA is filed under the name Goniozus sp. SNU-HY00028. RNAcentral describes it as "partial 16S ribosomal RNA". Lineage: Eukaryota; Metazoa; Arthropoda; Insecta; Hymenoptera; Bethylidae. The record is from RNAcentral.